Molecule: ribosomal RNA, 957 nt
Filed under: uncultured bacterium
Lineage: Bacteria
Description: bacterial SSU rRNA
Rfam family: Bacterial small subunit ribosomal RNA
Source: RNAcentral
AAUACGGAGGGUGCGAGCGUUAAUCGGAAUUACUGGGCGUAAAGCGCAUGCAGGUGGUUUGUUAAGUCAGAUGUGAAAGCCCGGGGCUCAACCUCGGAAUUGCAUUUGAAACUGGCAGACUAGAGUACUGUAGAGGGGGGUAGAAUUUCAGGUGUAGCGGUGAAAUGCGUAGAGAUCUGAAGGAAUACCGGUGGCGAAGGCGGCCCCCUGGACAGAUACUGACACUCAGAUGCGAAAGCGUGGGGAGCAAACAGGAUUAGAUACCCUGGUAGUCCACGCCGUAAACGAUGUCUACUUGGAGGUUGUGGCCUUGAGCCGUGGCUUUCGGAGCUAACGCGUUAAGUAGACCGCCUGGGGAGUACGGUCGCAAGAUUAAAACUCAAAUGAAUUGACGGGGGCCCGCACAAGCGGUGGAGCAUGUGGUUUAAUUCGAUGCAACGCGAAGAACCUUACCUACUCUUGACAUCCAGAGAACUUUCCAGAGAUGGAUUGGUGCCUUCGGGAACUCUUAGACAGGUGCUGCAUGGCUGUCGUCAGCUCGUGUUGUGAAAUGUUGGGUUAAGUCCCGCAACGAGCGCAACCCUUAUCCUUGUUUGCCAGCGAGUAAUGUCGGGAACUCCAGGGAGACUGCCGGUGAUAAACCGGAGGAAGGUGGGGACGACGUCAAGUCAUCAUGGCCCUUACGAGUAGGGCUACACACGUGCUACAAUGGCGCAUACAGAGGGCGGCCAACUUGCGAGAGUGAGCGAAUCCCAAAAAGUGCGUCGUAGUCCGGAUCGGAGUCUGCAACUCGACUCCGUGAAGUCGGAAUCGCUAGUAAUCGUGGAUCAGAAUGCCACGGUGAAUACGUUCCCGGGCCUUGUACACACCGCCCGUCACACCAUGGGAGUGGGCUGCAAAAGAAGUAGGUAGUUUAACCUUCGGGAGGACGCUUACCACUUUGUGGUUCAUGACUGG